AUUGAACGCUGGCGGCAGGCUUAACACAUGCAAGUCGAACGAGUGGCGGACGGGUGAGUAAUGUUUGGGAAUCUGCCUUAUGGAGGGGGAUAACUACUGGAAACUGUCGCUAAUACCGCAUACCAUCGGAUGUGCCCAAUUGGGAUUAGCUAGUAGGUGGGGUAAAGGCUCACCUAGGCGACGAUCCCUAGCUGGUCUGAGAGGAUGACCAGCCACACUGGAACUGAGACACGGUCCAGACUCCUACGGGAGGCAGCAGUGGGGAAUAUUGCACAAUGGGCGCAAGCCUGAUGCAGCCAUGCCGCGUGAAUGAAGAAGGCCUUCGGGUUGUAAAGUUCUUUCAGUGAGGAGGCGUUAAUCGCAGAAGAAGCACCGGCUAACUCCGUGCCAGCAGCCGCGGUAAUUC
This 406-nucleotide ribosomal RNA is filed under the name uncultured bacterium. RNAcentral describes it as "partial 16S ribosomal RNA". It matches the Rfam family "Bacterial small subunit ribosomal RNA", at positions 30 to 526 of the family's 1533-position model. The record is from RNAcentral.